RNAcentral lists this ribosomal RNA (496 nucleotides) under uncultured bacterium. Its description in RNAcentral is "partial 16S ribosomal RNA". It matches the Rfam family "Bacterial small subunit ribosomal RNA", at positions 28 to 506 of the family's 1533-position model. The record is from RNAcentral.
GAUGAACGCUGGCGGCGUGCCUAAUACAUGCAAGUCGAGCGAACAGACGAGGAGCUUGCUCCUCUGACGUUAGCGGCGGACGGGUGAGUAACACGUGGAUAACCUACCUAUAAGACUGGGAUAACUUCGGGAAACCGGAGCUAAUACCGGAUAAUAUAUUGAACCGCAUGGUUCAAUAGUGAAAGACGGUUUUGCUGUCACUUAUAGAUGGAUCCGCGCCGCAUUAGCUAGUUGGUAAGGUAACGGCUUACCAAGGCAACGAUGCGUAGCCGACCUGAGAGGGUGAUCGGCCACUCUGGAACUGAGACACGGUCCGGACUCCUACGGGAGGCAGCAGUAGGGAAUCUUCCGCAAUGGGCGAAAGCCUGACGGAGCAACGCCGCGUGAGUGAUGAAGGUCUUCGGAUCGUAAAACGCUGUUAUUAGGGAAGAACAAAUGUGUAAGUAACGAUGCACGUCUUGACGGUACCGAAGCAGAAAGCCACGGCUAACUACGU